Molecule: ribosomal RNA, 253 nt
Filed under: uncultured bacterium
Lineage: Bacteria
Description: partial 16S ribosomal RNA
Rfam family: Bacterial small subunit ribosomal RNA
Source: RNAcentral
UACGUAGGGGGCAAGCGUUGUCCGGAUUUAUUGGGCGUAAAGCGCGCGUAGGCGGCUCCGCAAGUCGGCCGUGAAAUCUCCGGGCUCAACUCGGAGGGGUCGGGCGAGACUGCGGGGCUCGAGGUGGGCAGAGGGCAGUGGAAUUCCGGGUGUAGUGGUGGAAUGCGUAGAGAUCCGGAGGAACACCAGUGGCGAAGGCGGCUGCCUGGGCCUGGCCUGACGCUGAGGCGCGAAAGCGUGGGGAGCGAUCCGG